GCCCCGUCGUCCGAGCCGCCGUAGCGUCCUCCCCGCGCGGCGCCUCCCAGCGCCCCGCCAUCCACCACCAGGGCGGCGUCGACGAGAUCCGGAACCUGCUGCGAGUCCAGGACACCAUGGGGCCGAGGAAUGCGGACUUGCUGUCGCUGCUGCCGUCCGUGAGCAAGCGCAGCGCGCCCAUCGUGGCUGACGAGGGCUCCUUGGUGGAGGAGCUGUCCGCCCUCAAGAAGAAGUCCGACUGAAGAGGGAAAAAGAGCAGGAAAGGAAAGAUGCGUCGCGACCCUUCUCUUUCUUUUCGUAGUGUUUCCAGCAACUCUCUUCCGAAACCAAACAUCAACGUUGUGAGAUCGCCUUAGUUAGUUUUCUCAGAGUCGUUAAUAAUUGUGCGGCUUCUCUGAUUGGCUGCGUCAUGACGUCACCGACGCUUUACGCGCAGAGCUCUGUUUCUUUCGUCGCGUGGACUCAGUCCUGGACACGCGACGAGCAAUAACCAACUGCUUCAAGUUGUAAAUUACUUGAAACUUUGUGUCGGCAGUACCAGCAAGCCGAGCUGGGACAGCAAAAUGUUUGCUCUGGCUGUUUUUAUUUGGUUCUUAUCAGUUUUGCGACUGUUUUAGUUAGUUAAGUAUUUCAUUUCGUUUCUUUAUUCUUUGAGAAACUGACUGAUUAGCUACUGGGUGUCGUUGGGAGGAGGUAAAAACCGAACGAGUCGUCAAAGAUUCCUUUUAAAAUUUGUGUCUCGCAUUUCGAAUGCGUUUAAGUCGCCACUGAGCUUGUUGUGUUUGCAAGUGAAUUUCGCAUUGUGUUAAAAAAGAACAGCUUGUAGACUGGUAGAGACUUUGCCGCUAUUCCUCUCGCACCUCCCAUCUCCGUCUAUAAAUUUCCCGCUCUCGUCGUUUGCGCGCUCUUUUCUUGUAUUUCGGACAUGGCUCCAUACUCCUUGCGCGUUCACCGCGGGCUCCUCUCCCGGCAGAGCGUUUUCCGGAGACGAAAUCUUGUCAGCGCGAAAAUCAAAAGACGUGUUCUGUUUUCGCGUGCGCUGUUUCCCAAAGUUUCAACGGAAGAGCAGGCAGAGCAACUUUGGCCGCAGUUCGGCGGCGUGGCAGGAAAUAUUGUCGGCGAGGUGUGUAAAAAGUAUUUACAUGAUUAUGCAGCAACUGCUGCUCUUAUUAUCACUAUCCAACGUGUAAAAAGCGGGCGACGAAUCACUGUUUUAGUGUAUGUGUAAAAUCGUCUCAUAGUGAUAUUUAAUUUAAAACAUUACGAGGGUCUGGCACACGCUGACCACAUCGGUGUUCGUCGAGCCAACACUUGUUUGGCUCGCAGCCCCGGUCAAGUAGUUUUCAUUUUGUUUUUAGAGAAGAAAAGAAACGUAGAUUCAGUUGCAGUCACGGUUGUGGUGACUCACGAUGAAAUAGCAUACAGGCUUUGUGACUCAGCAUAUCAUUCCAAGUGAAACUUCAAAAAAGAAAAAAAAACUUUGUUUUGAGCUUUUUUAAAGUAAAAUGUAUCACACUCUCUCCGCUGGGAAAAAAACGUAAAAAUUCAAAAGUUCUAAAUAAAGACUGCUCUUUUCCUCUCAUUAUUACUGUAUCUAGAGAUACAAGGCCUGGCAGAUGGGUAAGUUUAACCUUUGCAAAAUAGGAGAGCGUUACCUGAAUCAGUAGAGUUAAACAGUUGUGUAUGCCAAAGCUCCCCUCAUGGGGAAUAUCUUGACAAUGACUGUGACUAACUUGAGUUGAUAGUAAGUGUCUAUUCAAAGAGUGUAAUUUAAUUUUAAGUGAAAUACUGACUUGUACAAAUUAAACUUUUGUUUGCCUUUGUUGUUAUCUUUAAGUCUCAUCAGUAUUCUUGGCGGCCUCUCUUCGAACGGUAAACGAGGUGAAGAUUUUCCGCCAUUUCGUAAAAUCGUGUCAAUUGUACUUAUUUUCGACAGAACAAUCAUCAGCUUUCUUGGAUUCUCGCGGUCGAAUCACUUCCGCCAUACGAUGCUUUGUUGUGAGCGCGUAGCUGACCUAAUCCUAUUAAUCUUCGUACUAUGACCGGAGAUGUUUUGUGCCACUCUAUCGCUCAUUUUUAUAAACCUUUUCCCCUCUCUCACACGGCCACUAUUGCGCCGACUUCAUAUCAGCUUCAGAUUUCUUGUGUUCUAUCGACUUUUUACGAAACGGUCUUCCUGUGACGUUUCACCCCUCCGAAAAAACAUUGUUGUGCUACCUUAUUGCCUCGAUGUGUCUGUGAGUGGCCGGGGAGACACGAGGCCCUGCUGCUUCUGGGUGUGUGCCGGUGGCCACAUGGCCCACAUGGCCAGGUGGUCUGGCCCAGGUGGCCACCGCGCUGGGCUGUGCGGGUUACCCGCCGCCUGGUGGAUCGAAAGAGUUAGACUGAUAGGGCGAGCGGGGGCUGGCGACACAAUGUAGCACCGAAAAAAAGGUCUUUUUUCAGUACCUUGCGCGGCGCCAGCCUCCGGUCGCAGGAGAUGUGAUUGUUGUUGUUGGGUUUGCUAAGUGAUGUGCCGUAAAUAAUGUGAUGUCUGUAACAAUAAGGCGAGGCUAGCUUCUUGUCGUUUGUAUUGUUUCCUGUUGUUCUCGUGCAAGCUGCUCUUUUGUUCGAUGAGUUGAUUCGAAUGCUGACUUUACUGAAUGUGUACAUAACUUUCGUUCCUCUGCUUAUAUGUUUUAUACCUACAAUGUAUAUACGUAUAUUUUCAUAUAUCUACAGCAUCUAGGAUAGAGCACUACUUGUAAAUAAUCUUAUCUUUUCUCCUUCUGUGUGAUAUAUGAACUAAUCAAUUAGUAAUAACUACAAUAAAGUGUAUGCCCAAUAGAAA
This is a long non-coding RNA of Thrips palmi, 2830 nucleotides long. RefSeq lists it as uncharacterized. The record is from RefSeq and is a predicted model, not a curated record. The transcript is spliced from 2 exons. NCBI's taxonomy places the organism in Eukaryota, Metazoa, Arthropoda, Insecta, Thysanoptera, Thripidae.